UUGCAAGUAUCCUCCCCCCCCCCUGUCUUCAUUUCGCUACAUUUUCUGUUGGAUUUUGCUAGUCUGGCUGAGUGUUCUGUAGUUCCCGCAUGUAGCGGUGGAUCCUAGAUGUUUGGAUGUUUUGUGGUAUUUUUGUUGCAAAUGUAUGGUCCGAUGUAGAUGUAGCGGUGGAACCCUCCUGUCUAUUUGAUAGUCCCUAGAUGUGUACAGUCCUUAGAUGUAUGGAUGCAAAUGCUGAGUCUAGUACCUAGAUGUCUGGACUGUAAAUUGAUAUGAUCCUUUUGGCGUCUGCUAGUUUGGUAGGUUGAUUUUGGUAUGGCCUGCAUUUGGAUGUAGAUGUACAGCCCCUAGAUGUAUGGAUGCAAAUGCUGAAUCACCUUGUCAGUUGAGUCUCAUAGUGUGUUUUUUGGUGGACUGAAUGUUUUGAAUUCAGUAAUAGUGGUUUGGCUGUAAAUUGCAGUGUAAUUUUGAGUGGAUUUUCAGCUUAAUUGCAGUGUACUCCAGUGUAAAAACUCAAAGCCUUUGAGUUCAGUGAAUUUUUCAGCUUAAUUUUAUAGUGAUUUUUGUACUGUAGUUCAGUCUAUAUUAGUCUAUCUUACACUGUAAUUUUUAGUGCUUUCUUCCUUUUUUUUAAGCUCAGUAAUGUGGAACUUACAGUGAUUUACUAUGUUUUCUAUACUAUUCUAGCAUAAUUUUUUUAACUGAAUGUCUGUUUACUUGCAGUCUAAAUUAAUGCGCAUUCAAUCCUGUAAUGUGUAAUCCUCCUGAUCAGUUGAGUCUCAUGUUGUUUAGUUGGCGGACUGUUUUUUUUCAAUGGCGAGAUUGCGGAAAGCUUACAGGCAGGAACCCCAUGCCAUUUCUCCCUGGAAUCCAGAAUAAUUUUCCUGCUAGAUGCUGAGAAGUAGGAGAGGGGGCUGUUUCUAGGGAGAAGUGCUUAGUGAAAUGCAGGGUUGGAAACCUGGGACCCGUUUAGUUAUUGUGGGACAAGGACAACGACAUUCAGAGGACAGGAAGGAACAGAGGACAGAUGACAUUUGUCAAAUUCUGGAUGGCCAAAAAAUAUGACUGAAAGCGAAUUGAAUUUAAGUCAAAUGUAAAACAGACAGUCCCUAUAAAAAACUACAAGAUCAAUGCUCAUAUUCAUAAAA
Non-coding RNA from Aegilops tauschii subsp. strangulata, 1148 nucleotides. The record is from RefSeq and is a predicted model, not a curated record. NCBI's taxonomy places the organism in Eukaryota, Viridiplantae, Streptophyta, Magnoliopsida, Poales, Poaceae.